Molecule: ribosomal RNA, 422 nt
Filed under: uncultured archaeon
Lineage: Archaea
Description: partial 16S ribosomal RNA
Rfam family: Archaeal small subunit ribosomal RNA
Source: RNAcentral
CUACGGGCGGCACCAGUCGAGGAUCUUCUGCAAUGUAUGAAAGUAUGACAGAGCAAGCCAGAGUGUUUCUCAAAUUGAGAAACUUUUGCCAAAUCUAAAAAUUUUGGCGAAUAAGGACUGGGCAAGACUGGUGCCAGCCGCCGCGGUAAUACCAGCGGUCCAAGUCGCAGCCACAUCUAUUGGGUCUAAAACAUUCGUAGCUCGCUUUAUAAGUCUUUUGUGAAAUUCUGUAUCUCAAGUACAGAGCGAGCAAAAGAUACUAUAUUGCUAGAGACCGGAGGACGUAAGGAGUACAAUUGGGGUAAUGGUAAAAUAUUUUAAUCCCAAUUGGACUAACAACAGCGAAGGCACCUUACGACGACGGAUCUGACAGUGAGGGAUGAAGGCUAGGGGCGCAAAACGGAUUAGAUACCCUUGUAGUC